Molecule: non-coding RNA, 73 nt
Organism: Pteropus alecto (black flying fox)
Lineage: Eukaryota; Metazoa; Chordata; Mammalia; Chiroptera; Pteropodidae
Source: Rfam
GGUUUCAUAGUGUAGCGGUUAGCACAUCUGCUUUACAUGCAGAAGGUCCUAGGUUUGCGCCCCAGUGUAGCCA